Molecule: ribosomal RNA, 407 nt
Filed under: uncultured bacterium
Lineage: Bacteria
Description: partial 16S ribosomal RNA
Rfam family: Bacterial small subunit ribosomal RNA
Source: RNAcentral
AUUGAACGCUGGCGGCAGGCCUAACACAUGCAAGUCGAGCGGAGCGGCGGACGGGUAAGUAUUGCCUAGGAAUCUGCCUGGUAGUGGGGGAUGACGUUCGGAAACGGGAGCUAAUACUGCAUACUCUCAGCUGAGCCUAGGUCGGAGUAGCUAGUUGGUGGGGUAAAGGCUUACCAAGGCGACGAUCCGUAACUGGUCUGAGAGGAUGAUCAGUCACACUGGAACUGAGACACGGUCCAGACUCCUCCGGGAGGCAGCAGUGGGGAAUAUUGGACAAUGGGCGAAAGCCUGAUGCAGCCAUGCCGCGUGUGUGAAGAAGGUCUUCGGGUUGUAAAGUACUUUAAGUUGGGAGGCGUUACCAACAGAAUAAGCACCGGCUAACUCCGUGCCAGCAGCCGCGGUAAUAC